This 503-nucleotide ribosomal RNA is filed under the name uncultured bacterium. Its description in RNAcentral is "partial 16S ribosomal RNA". It matches the Rfam family "Bacterial small subunit ribosomal RNA", at positions 28 to 523 of the family's 1533-position model. The record is from RNAcentral.
GAUGAACGCUAGCGGCAGGCCUAACACAUGCAAGUCGAGGGGUAGCAGGAUUAAGCUUGCUUAAUUGCUGACGACCGGCGCACGGGUGCGUAACGCGUAUGCAACCUACCUUAUACUGGGGUAUAGCCCGGAGAAAUUCGGAUUAAUCCCCUAUAGUACUAAUGAAUCGCAUGGUUUAUUAGUCAAAGCAUUGCGGUAUAAGAUGGGCAUGCGUCCUAUUAGCUAGAUGGUGAGGUAACGGCUCACCAUGGCUACGAUAGGUAGGGGGCCUGAGAGGGUGGUCCCCCACACUGGUACUGAGACACGGACCAGACUCCUACGGGAGGCAGCAGUGAGGAAUAUUGGUCAAUGGGCGCAAGCCUGAACCAGCCAUGCCGCGUGCAGGAAGAAUGCCCUAUGGGUUGUAAACUGCUUUUAUUUGGGAAUAAACCUCUUUACGUGUAGAGAGCUGAAGGUACCAAAUGAAUAAGCACCGGCUAACUCCGUGCCAGCCGCCGCGGUAA